RNAcentral lists this transfer RNA (65 nucleotides) under Yunnantettix bannaensis. Its description in RNAcentral is "tRNA-Tyr". It matches the Rfam family "tRNA". From Rfam's summary of the family: Transfer RNA (tRNA) molecules are approximately 80 nucleotides in length. Lineage: Eukaryota; Metazoa; Arthropoda; Insecta; Orthoptera; Tetrigidae. The record is from RNAcentral.
GAUUAGGUGGCUGAAAAAUAAGGCGGUUGAUUGUAAGUCAAUUUAUGAGUAUCACUCUCUAUUCA